Molecule: small nucleolar RNA, 205 nt
Organism: Suncus etruscus (white-toothed pygmy shrew)
Lineage: Eukaryota; Metazoa; Chordata; Mammalia; Eulipotyphla; Soricidae
Product: small nucleolar RNA U3
Exons: 1
Source: RefSeq, a predicted model, not a curated record
AAGACUAUACUUUCAGGGAUCAUUUCUGUAAUAUGUGACUAGAGAAGUUCCUCUGAUCUUGUAGAGCAUCUGAAGCCAUGAAUAGGAGUCAGAGCGUCCUCUCCUGAGCGAGAAGCUGGCUCUAGUGUUGCUUCUUUGACUGACUUUGGCCAUUGACGAUCGUUCUCCCUUUCCUCUGGAAAGGAUAGAGGGAGAGGAAAUUAAU